GUGGCUAAUCUGCAUAUGCACAUUAGCUCUAUUACCUAUUAGCGGAUUAAAAAGCUUUAAAACAAAGAGGAAGUAGGAAAAGAACUACAUUUCCCAUCUGCCCUGGCUGUCACAGACUAAUAGCACCAGCUGCUUUCCAAUGCCCUAAGGAGUGAUUCUACUGCGGCAACGAGACCAAAUACAACGAAAGUAUUGAUGCUGCAAAAGAAGACGGAUCUUUUGGUAGGCUGGUUAAUGAUGACCACAGGCACCCAAAUGGCAGAAUGCAGAAGACUGAAGUGGAUGGAAGCCCACAUCUUGGUCUGUUUGCUUUAACAGACUUUAAAGAAGGUGAUGAAAUUACCUACAAUUACGGAGGAGGAGACUGACCUUGGUGUAGCAAG
Molecule: long non-coding RNA, 383 nt
Organism: Ictalurus punctatus (channel catfish)
Lineage: Eukaryota; Metazoa; Chordata; Actinopteri; Siluriformes; Ictaluridae
Exons: 3
Source: RefSeq, a predicted model, not a curated record